Molecule: long non-coding RNA, 335 nt
Organism: Anneissia japonica
Lineage: Eukaryota; Metazoa; Echinodermata; Crinoidea; Comatulida; Comatulidae
Exons: 2
Source: RefSeq, a predicted model, not a curated record
UAUAUAAAGUAUAUUAUAAUACACCUAAAUAGAUUUUGAUUGUUGGAUUCCGUAUCAUGUGACAUUGAUUUUUAACACUAUCUCGUCACUCAUUAUAAAAAUGUAUAUCCAUUCGUGCAUUUUUUGUUUCAUACGCUUUCGUCCCAUUGCACGCCUUCACCUAAUACAAUGUUGUCAUUGGUUGAAAGAAGAUUGACUGUUCCAUUCUGAAGAAAGGUAGUUGAUUACCAAUUUGUUGAGUGGAAGAAUCCAUUUUCCUGUGAUCAAAACCAACCAACUGCGUAACUCUUUUCUUCCAGCGGCCAUGAGGCUACAUAAUGUAAACUUUGUCAGGU